Molecule: long non-coding RNA, 1806 nt
Filed under: Nicotiana tabacum (common tobacco)
Lineage: Eukaryota; Viridiplantae; Streptophyta; Magnoliopsida; Solanales; Solanaceae
Description: long non-coding RNA (NTAB_LNC018459)
Rfam family: MIR6151 microRNA precursor family (bases 209-279)
Source: RNAcentral
UAACUAAAACACGCACUGUUCCUCUUCUCCAAAUCGAAUCCAGCCCUAUUUCAGCCUAAAUCCAUGGCGAGUGACUCCACACUCAUAACCACACGUUCCUCCUUCUCUCCUCAUCACCAUUUCUAACAGUUUCUGACACCGAAGAUUCUCCUUCCUUUCGCUUGAUCGAUUUUGAGAUAAGGCACGCGAUUGGAAGGUCCUAAAGACGAUUCGUUGGAUGAGUGUGAGACGUUGGAUUGUUUUCGUUCAAUCCGAGCCCCACAUUCAUCAGGGGUUCGUUUUUAUAAGGGAUCAGAUCCAAUUUUGAAGAGGGAGGAUAUUUUCAGAGGGACUUGGGAAAAUUUCAACAGAGAGGAUCUUGGGAAGAGAUUUGAGAGAUUUCUUUUCUCCAUUUUAUUUGUUCCUUCAAUUCUGAUACUAAAAAAGCAGAAAAAGAAUCAUUGAGUUUUUUUUUGCUGUUUCAUUUUCAUGGCGACCAUUGUUUAAAUCUUCUUUUUUUUUUCAAAUCUCUAGAACUCAUCUUCUUCAUUUUGAUUCUAGAUUUUAGUUUAAAAAAUGGAAAUCAUUUGAAAAGUUUGAGGCUGUUGCUGCUCAAGGACUAAUUUAGCUGCUAUUUGCUUCCUCUUGGUCGAUUUCAAUGUUGUACUAAUUCAGUUUCUCAACUCCAGGUUCAUUUCUCUUCUUCAUUUUAGUUCCCAUUGUAAAUCGAUCUCUGAAUGAGCUAUAAAUGGGUUGAAGUUUGAAAUAAUGACUGAGAUUUGUGUAGUUAUCGUAGGUUCAUCUUGCUGCUCUGUUUUAUUUUUUUUAUUUGUAUCAGCUUCUUCUAUGAUUUCAUAUGUGUACUAAGGAAUGUUUGUAUGAUCCUCUAGUCUCAGAAUCCAUCGAAACAUGUGAUUUGUGUGCUCGUCUGCCUCUUCUGUCAUUGUCCAGCCAUAGUCGAUUUCUUUUUUGUGUGUAAAUGUUUAGGGGUUGGUUCUCAAAUGGCUUGAAGAUUAACUCUGCUCAUUUUCUUUGUAGUGGACAGUCAAAAUUGGUUUGAUUGGUGGUCGACUGAGUUUGAGUGGCUCGUGUGUUUGUUUUCAUGCUUGUUUGUGUACUGGUCGCAAAUCAGUCGAGUUUGUUAGUUUAGUUCAUACACUCGUGCUGAAAAUGCCCAGACUAUCUUGGCACAUGUUUUCCAAUUCGUUUUCACCUUUGAAUGAGAUCAUAUCAUCUUAGCUCUCAAGCAUUUUUAGUUAGUUGGAGAAAACUCGGUAAUGCCCUGUUUCUCAGCAGAUUCUGUGAAAAUUUUAAAGGCUGGAUAUUCGGAUGUCUUUCAUGCUUGGUUCCUUUACUAUGCAAACUUCUGAGAUUUGAAAUUCAUCUGAACCAAGUAUGGUAAUCGAUUUGCUAGAAUCCGGGUUGCUUGUUUGAUGAAAUUAAACUAAUUCCCGUUACUGUUUCCCUCUGUUAAGAAAACAUCAAUAUGACCCCUCUUUGGUCAUGCUUUGAGUGAACUUUCAGCAUCCAUGUUGGAGGUUCAAAUGAAUGAUGUUUGAGAUCUUAUCAAAUGUUUGGUUUCUGCUUCAUAAUUGAUACCCAAAGCAGCCUUAGCUUGUUUAACGAUACUCAAACCAGUAUCAAAUGCUAAUUGGGUUUUGGCUGUUAUUCCAGCUGCAAGUGAUGAUUGAAGUUGAGCUGUUUCUUUGAAUGCGCAUAUGUUGGAUCAUUUUGAUUUUUUUUCUCUGGUUGAAACCUCCUCAGAUUCUAAGAGCCAGAUGGAUGAUUCAUUCUCUCGUAAUUGAAAGAGUUCUUGCAUGAUUGCUA